GUGGACUGAGGCGAAGUGCCGAGGCCAGGGCUGGAGGAGGCGUGGGGACCAUGGAGGCUCACUGCCAGGAACCAGGAAAGGGAGUCCAUUAUUGCUGAAAAUCCAUUUUAAGGCAGCAGACGGCAGAAGACCAAAAGAGCCCCAUCGUCGGCACAGAGAACGUACAGG
This is a long non-coding RNA of Herpailurus yagouaroundi (jaguarundi), 168 nucleotides long. RefSeq lists it as uncharacterized. The record is from RefSeq and is a predicted model, not a curated record. Lineage: Eukaryota; Metazoa; Chordata; Mammalia; Carnivora; Felidae. The transcript has 3 exons.